RNAcentral lists this ribosomal RNA (253 nucleotides) under uncultured bacterium. RNAcentral's name for it is "partial 16S ribosomal RNA". It matches the Rfam family "Bacterial small subunit ribosomal RNA", at positions 524 to 776 of the family's 1533-position model. The record is from RNAcentral.
UACGGAGGGGGCGAGCGUUAUUCGGAAUUAUUGGGCGUAAAGGGCGCGUAGGCGGCCCGGUAAGUCAAAGGUGAAAUCCCUCGGCUCAACUGAGGAACUGCCUUUGAAACUGUCGGGCUUGAGGCCGGGAGGGGGUAGCGGAAUUCCCAGUGUAGCGGUGAAAUGCGUAGAUACUGGGAGGAACACCAGUGGCGAAGGCGGCUACCUGGACCGGUUCUGACGCUGAGGCGCGAAGGCGUGGGUAGCAAACAGG